Equus caballus (horse) is the source of this 4342-nucleotide non-coding RNA. Lineage: Eukaryota; Metazoa; Chordata; Mammalia; Perissodactyla; Equidae. The record is from RefSeq and is a predicted model, not a curated record.
CGCCGAAGCAGAAUGUGGGAACUUAACCGCUGCACCACCAGGCCGGCCCCAGACUCCCUAUUUCUUAAACAGGGUUUUUUAAAUAACUGCUUUCUCAGAUUCAUUGUGAAUAUAUGUAAAUACUUCUGAGGACUAAUGAGGAACUAUAAUACCAACCUCAAGUGGGAAGUGGGCUUUAUAACUUAAAAGUGAAGAGGCCCCGGGACAGAAGGAAUUUGAAGGGAGAAAGUAACUGUGUAAUGUGUUAUAAUAAAUGUCUGAUCUCUAACCUAUUCCUGCAAUACCAUCCCAUUAGAUAACACCAGAGCCAGAUUUAGUUCUUAAAGGGCCCAAUAUUUCCCAUGCAAAUAUGGGCAGUCAUCGCUCUUAGCUGCUAGACAGUAGAUAUUUAGCUCCUUCUGUUUUUCCUCAAAGUAUCCCCCGCACCUUCCUGGUUUGCUGUGGCAUAUCUUUCUAAUAGCGCAAUGCUCAGAUAAAGAUCUGUUUCCACGGGACUGUAUAAGCAGAUUCGUAAAACAUGCUUCAAUUUGCCAAAUUCUUCUCCUAAUUCUUCAAAGUACUUUACAAAAUUAUCAAUUCUUUAAUUAUACCUACCAAAUAAAUGGCAAAUAUCUUUACAGUAGAAAAAUUAGAGGACAGAGUGAAACAGUCCUCUGCCUGAUGGUGACACACCCAGAAGUGCAUCUGGUCUGUCGAUUUGAUCCGUGCCACCUCUACCACUAGACAGGCUCCUCACUGUAGCCUGUGUCAGCGGGCUCACAGAUUUUUUUCUAGUGCUAAAAAGACAGUAUGGCCCAUAAUUUACGUGGCUGAGAAUGUGGGUCAUGUUUUUAAACUUUUGUCCGUUCUCAUUACACACUGGCAUAAAUAAUUACGUAGCAUAUUAGCAGCCCAUAGGCAGCCAACUGGGGACUCUAACACUCAAUCAGGAUGAACAAUCUGAUCAGAAACAAACAGUGAAGAAUUUAUAACCCUAUACCACUAUUGAAUACCAGGCUCUUUCCUAGAUUUGCUAUCAAAAACAUGACAUAUACAAGGUCAUCACUGCUCUGUUAUCUGUAAUGGUAAAAAGCCUGGAAACAAGCCAAGUAUCUACUACAGGAGACUGGUAUGGCCAAGUACCCGUAUAUGAGACUGGUACAGAAAGGUCUCCAGGAUAUUCUGUUAAAUAAAACAAACCAGGUGCAGAACAGUAUGUCUACAGUGCUACCUGUUGACAUGGGCGAUGGAGGUAGUGAGAAGCAGAGUGAGGUCUCCCAGCCUGCUUCCCUCACGCUGGCCUCUGCGUCUUCCCGCGCUUCCGCUGUGCAGUCUUCAGCUCAAACAAAUCACACAACAGAAGGACUGCGGGACAACACAUUUCAGUAUAUGGAUGGAUGGAAGAAAUCAAAAGGAGAGGCACAGUACAAGCAUUCAUGGACAUUGAAAGAAUUGUCAAUGCUUUAAAAACGGACUCCUAAGUACACUCCUUGGAUCAACUUCAAUAAUCCCUUAAGAACAAGAGAACGAUGGACCAAAGGGAACUUAGGAAAGCAGUCGAGCUUGUAACCUUAAACUAGCUUGAUAGUCUCUUCAGGAUUUUUUUUUUCCCCUAAUAAAAAUUAACUGCAAAAUAUUCUCUUUGAUCUGUAAAAGAAGUGAGAAACGAAAGCACUGUUUAGACCCAAAACAAGGAUCGGAAAGCUCAGAAAAAGGUAUCCUGUGCCACAGAGGCCACCAGAACAACUAGGAAGACGAGGUACCCUCGGAAGAAGUCGCUUUGAAAGCACGGCUUAGCGGAGCAGGCAGCGUCCGUCUUAACAAGUGGUCAGGGAAAUAACUGAGGGAAAAAAUAGGUGAGAGAAAAUCAGGUUAGGGAGACCUAAAAACAUACUUUCUUAAAGAGCGAAGGAGGUCAACGCAAGACCAAGGGAGGAACACGGGGUGACCACAGAGGGCUGGGCGGCCUGAGCCCGAGGGACAUGGACGCUUCAUCAGGGAAGACAGCUCCUUCCUCCCUGACUAGAAAAGUCACAGGCCACACGUCAGCACCACAGGAGACGCGAGGUACAGUGAAGCAGGACGAGGAAACGAAGAGCAGCCUGUAAUCCCACCCGCAAACCACCACUGCUGAUGCUCAAGUUUACGUGGAGAAGAGGAGCUUCCAAGAGGAACUCCUGGAAGAAGCAGAGCCUCCUGCGUUCACAUUCACAUCAAUUCAAAAAGCUGUAUUCACUACACUUUACCCCUGAGUUCACACCACAAGUUUUCUUAUAUGUAAAUCCUCCUUCUCAUCUUUUAAAAAAAUUUUUCUUCUGUCAUUUAUCUUAGUGUCUUAAUAAAAUUAACUUUUAAAAUACCCAAGUAGCAUGUGGAUUGCUCAGAAGAGCAGCAGAACACGUUUCUACAGCAGAGCGCAGAAAGCAGCGCACAUCCCCAGUGGCUGAGGGCAGUGAGGAAGCUGGGGUGAGCAGGAACCAAGAGGGAGCGGGCGGAGGGCUGGCCCCUCCCCAGGCCCCGUGGACAGCACUUAACGAUCUGUAACACUGGGCUGAAGCACAAAGUUUUCAUAACGUGCAGAGGCCUGCCAUUAUUCUUGGCUGAUAUUCACUCUGCCGUAGAUCUCAAACCUGCUCCAAUGUAGAGCAGAAAACUGAAAGAUGAUAACGGGCCCCCUGUGAAGUUAUCAUAUCCACAUAACAAGAAGGAACAUUAGGAGAGACGAUGGAAGAAAAAGAAAAGAUGGGGGGAAUCAGAGAAAGAAUAGCAGGAAAUGCCUCAAAACUGAAAGACACAAAUUUCCAGAAAUGAAAGCAUCCCCUGAGUACCGAGGACAGCUGAUGGGAAAGACCCACGCCACGUACAUCACCAUGAAAUGCCUGAACACCAGGGACACAGAGAACACCCUCAAAACUUCCAGUGAGGGAGAAAAGAAAAAAACAAACUAACAAAACACGGUCACACAGAAAGGAUCUGAACCCCUAUGCCACUAGAGCAUCACAGAUACCAGACAGCACAGCAAUGUCUUCCAAAUUCCAAGGGAAAAUUAUUUCCAGCCUAGAAUUCUGUAACACUGCCAAACUAUCAACCACGUUUGUGGGCAAAAUAAAGUCAUUCAAAUAUUUCUUAGGAGAUAAGCACAUAAACCAAGCAAAGGGGCAACACGGGUGCCAGCCUGGGAGCAGUGGAGGGCAGUACCUGAAAGAUAGUCGGGAGCUGUUCCUGAUGGGAAACAGUAAAGAGGGGAGGAAGAUGCAGGGCUCCAGAGAAAAAGGAAGCGACAAAUUUCAGCUCAGAAAAUGUUACUGAUAGGAAUGUGACUAAUAUGCUGGAGCAUUUGGAAAAAAACUAACAGUGGGACGUGAAAAAAACCAGGCAAAGGUCAACCUAAACACAAGGAAGAGCAGAGCUGAGACAGAUCAUCUGACUAGUGGUAUUUGGCAGAGGUAGAAAUACGAAAAAGCUGCCUGUUUUCACCAAAAAUGACAACACAGCUCUGUUAGGGGCCAGCCCGGUGGCACAGCGGUUAAGUUCAUGUGCUCUGCUUUGGUGGCCUAGGGUUCGCAGGCUCGGAUGCUGGGCGCAGACCAAUGCAACGCUCAUCAGGCCGUACUGUGGCAGGCAUCCCACAUAUAAAGUAGAGGAAGAUGAGCACGGAUGCUGGCUCAGGGCCAAUCUUCCCCAGCAAAAAGAGGAGGAUUGGCAGCGGAUGUUAGCUCAGGGCUGGUCUUCCUUGGGGGUGGGGAGGAAUUACAAUACAGGUCUGUUAGGGGGUGGAGGGCAUGGAAAGGUAGGGAGUGCAAGGUGGAGGAGCUAAGUUCUAAUGUAUCCCCACAAGAAAUCACCAGGCCAAACACGGGGGAAAAAAAGGACUAACAACACAUCAAAUGAUUCAGAAACACGAAGAUGAGGCCUGAGGAAAAAGGAAAGUAACUGAGCGGCUGCCUCUAAAGAAUGAGACUAGAAGGUGGGGAGACUAGAGGCAAUUGUUUUGUUUUUUUCUCUUAGAAUUCUUUUAGUACUAGCUGACUUUUUAAACCAUACAGAACAUGAAUUAUUUUGAUAAAAACAAAAUAAAAAGGGAAAAAAUAGCAACAUUUAAAAUUUGCCAUUUUUCUCUCUGCAUUUUUCAAACCUCACAUUGCAUCUGGUAUAUCCAUAGGGGUAUACCCAGGCCCCCAGAUGGCUUGCUGGGCAGGAGGGGGCAGGGAAAUUGACUCUGGGCCCUAACUCAGCACUGACUGAAUCACGAUUUCCGCAGGAGUGCUCUGUAGAUUUAAAAGGACCUCAGGAGCCAGCCCUGAUGGCCCAGCGGUUAAAGUUCGGUGCUCUCACCGCUUCAUCAGCCAGGGUUUGUUUCCCA